Pseudogymnoascus pannorum is the source of this 284-nucleotide small RNA. It matches the Rfam family "A. fumigatus sRNA Afu_309". NCBI's taxonomy places the organism in Eukaryota, Fungi, Ascomycota, Leotiomycetes, Thelebolales, Thelebolaceae. The record is from Rfam.
UUCCUUUUACCACAACAACCCGUGAAUGGCUUGACACCAGCAUCACCUUCGGGUCGAUAAUGGAGUCGCUGUUCAGUUUGACUUCAAGGAGCCAUCAAAUUCCCAUGAUGUCAAUUUUCUAGUCAACGGGUUUGAGAUCGAUUAACGCGCCCGCAAGUCUCGAAGUUUUGAGCCCCUCCGGGGAGCUCGAUGGAGAGAUGGGCGCCUUAAGUCACUAUAUUCCAAAUCUUUUCGCUGAUGCCGUCGGCUUAUGAUGCUAAAGACUCACCAUGGUGAAUACAGUU